UUACUGCGGCUGCUAGAAAACUGCUCACACAUGAGCCUUGUGUGCUAUUUCUUCCCGUCAGUGCCAUCGAGAGCAACGCUGGGCGUUCAGCGGGCACGAUGCCAACGUCCGCUCUUAUUAUUAUUAGUUUUUGGGUUUGAGUCCUGGAUUUACAGCGUUCGCCAUUUGAGCCAACCCGUCUUCCCCACAUCUUGGAAGAUGUUUCGUAUCGGCAGGAAACUGCAGGUGGAAGGAACCUCGGAUCCCAUAAAAGUGAGGUUGUUGGUGAUGCAAGACUCAGGAUGGCCUGGAGGACCGGGAGGGGUGGUGAUGGGCGGUGGGGAGAGCCCAGCCGGGCCCAGAAGUCCCGGGCUCUGGUCCUCCCAGCGGCAAGGUGGAGCCCCGGACAGGCCACACCCCUUCCUCAUCGGCAGGGGUCUCGUAAAUGGUGUCAGAGCAGAGGGGCCUCGCUGGGAGGGAUGCUGCGGUCCAGCCGCCAGCACUGCAUUCCGUGGGGUUGGAAAAGACCUCUUCUGGGCUCCAGGGAUCUGUUUGAAGACACAGUUGCCCCUGGGAGGCUGCUCGUUUCUGUGUGUCUAUCUGUCCACCUACCUGUCCAUCCACUCGCCACUGAAGGGAAGCAGAAAUGAAUGAGCCAUGGAACCCACCUGCCCUCAAGCAACUUAGCAUCCAGAAGGGGAGGUCAGAGUUUGGAGACACAAUGUGGAUUUUCUGGUGGCCUGAGACGUCUUUCUUCCGCUGCGCAGCCUGACCAGGCAGCGAGGCUAGUGAAGCGGGGCUGCGAGGAGCCGGGCGGGCUGUGCGGCCCCCUUUCCAGCAGGGAGAACCCAGAUGCCGCUCGACCUGUCCUGGACCACGGAGCUAACUGGGAAUGCGUUUCUGGGAAAUUCUUCCAGAUUCGGGACCUCAAGAAAUCCACUAUCCUCCAUGGAGACAGACACCGUCAAGGACAAGCACCUGGACUAUCUCCUCCCCACAAAGAGAUACAGGCCGGUGGGAAAGCUGCUGACCAGCAAGGUCACGGGCUCCCUUCUCUCUGCAAGUGUCUCAAGGCCAAAGACAGGCUGGUGGGAAAGCUCCGACCAGCAAGGCCAUAUGCUCCCCUUCCCUACCUAAAACCCCAAAUAAAAACCCUUCCUUUUAGCUUUUCGGGGAGUUUGGGCUUUCAGCGUUAGCUGCCCUCUCUCCUUGCUCAGUGCUGUGCAAAAAUAAAAUGCCUCCUUUCUUCCGCCACCUCCGGUGUCAGAGAUUGGCUUGCUGCGCAACGGGUGCUUACCGAGGGUCCCAGUGGACACCAGCUACCAUCAUCUGAGCGUGCAUCCAUCCAGGACUCAUUCAACAAACACGUGUUAAGCUCCUGCUUGUGCCCGGCGAUGGAGGUUUGACAGAGCAGAGCCGGAGACUCUGGUCUCGGAGUCUGCUGUCUAGAGGGAGUGACAGAUGUUAGCCAAGUCACCACAUAAAUAACACCUUACAAACGGGGACUGGCACAGGACCUGCUGCCCCACUUCCCAUAGAUGGCAGAUGUCACCUGUCCACUGAUGGGAAAUGGCCCCCCGGCCCGGCACUUCCUGUCCCCUCACCUUCUGCAUAAGCAGAGAACCCUCACGGCCCUCUGACCUACAUACUGACUCGUGAACGUGGUUGCUGUCUGUCUGUCUCCCCAGGAGAGCUGGACUUCUCAUCUGUUUCAUUUGUGCCGUCUCUCUCGUGCCUGGAAUGUGGUCUGGCCAUAUAGCUGCUCAAUAAAUAAU
Molecule: long non-coding RNA, 1754 nt
Filed under: Equus caballus (horse)
Lineage: Eukaryota; Metazoa; Chordata; Mammalia; Perissodactyla; Equidae
Description: lncRNA (ENSECAG00000049919.1)
Source: RNAcentral